This 3315-nucleotide long non-coding RNA is filed under the name Oryza sativa (Asian cultivated rice). RNAcentral's name for it is "long non-coding RNA (OSAT_LNC000320)". Lineage: Eukaryota; Viridiplantae; Streptophyta; Magnoliopsida; Poales; Poaceae. The record is from RNAcentral.
GUGAAGAAUUGAAGCUCAGCUUAGCUCAGCUCCGGUAUUUCUAGUUGUUGCAUGGUGGUAGCUUCUCUGCUGCUCACUUUCUCCCCUGUUGUUUUGGUAUACUGUGUUCUUGUGAUGGUCUUGAUUGUCAAUUCUUAAGUCUCAACCAACUAACUUUGGUCUCCUGGUCAGAGAAUAUUCAAAGAGACAUGCAUACAUCCUGCAAAAAAGAAUUCUGCACACACCGAGGAAAAAAAGAUUAUAUGAUAGCAUGGGAGUGAGUGACUAAAGGAAGACUACUUUGUUGCUUACACGCAUCAGACAUAAUAGGGUAAUAAAUAAAAGGAACCGAAAAGAUAAUAGACCUAGUUAACGCAACUUUAGAUAAAUAGUAGUAAGGGAUUUGUCCAUCAUGGUUAAAAUAUGUACUCUUCCAUGGUGGUUUGUCAGAGGUUUGUUAUUUUAAGGUUUAGGCCAUUACUGAGAGAUUUAGAAUACAAACAUACCUUGGUGGGUAGCACGGUGGACGACCUGUUGUCGGUAAAGUUGAAUCUUGCUCCUGUUCCAUAUCUAGUGGAUGUACAUGCAUGCCAAGAACAGGAAAUGGAACAGUGAACUGAUUUGAUUCUGUACCACUCUGGUACAGUUUACAUCACUUCUACUAUUAAGUUGGUGACUGGUUUAAGCCAGCAUUAUAUGCUCAAGCAGACAACAAGCAGUCAGGCUUACUCUCACCAGGCAACUGAACUAACUGUGCUCUUAUUUCGUCUGUAGCAAUUUUCUCUGACUGUUCCUGCAAAAGAACUCAUUAAGAUUGAUGCAAGUAAUUAACAUGUCAGAUUUUUUUUAUAUUAAAAAAAAAGGUGACAAGGGAAUCAUCGAUGGACAAGGUGAUGUAUGGUGGAACAUGUGGAGGCAAAGGACACUUCAGCAUACCAGGCCCAACCUUCUGGAAUUCAUGCAUUCCAGUGGCAUUCACAUCUCCAACAUUGUUCUCAAGAAUUCACCCUUCUGGAACAUCCAUCCUGUUUAUUGCGAGUAAGCACACGCUUGAAAGUUGAAAUGUUCAUCUCCUUCCUGCAAAAAUUUGUCACUGCUUAAUAUUUCUUUCAGAGCAAUGUUGGAAGGCCGAAAAAUAGUUGAUAUGUGAAAAUUUCAAUACAAUCCAUUAUGGAAUAGUUACCAGAAAUAAGAAAUCUUGUGACACAGCUACAAAAUUCUUGAGAAUGUUCAGUUUCAAAUGCCCAUUUAUGCUGAAAUACUGAUCCAAUUCAUUUUCUACACCCAGCAAUGUGGUCAUAACCAACAUGAUGAUCAUCGCACCACAUGACUCGCCCAACACCGAUGGAGUUGAUCCAGGUAUGCAAAUUCAUCUUAAGCUUCUGGCACACAAACAAACCACAUAUAAAUUGAUUAAUUUUUCUUUGCUACAUGCCUGACCAUCCAAGAGUACAUGGAACAUGCUAAUAAUACUGAAUCCUCCCACAGAUUCUAGCACCAACGUAUGCAUCGAGGACUCCUACAUCUCAACCGGCGACGAUCUCGUGGCCAUCAAGAGCGGCUGGGACGAGUACGGCAUCGCCUACGGGCGGCCGAGCUCGGGCAUCACCAUCAGGCGCGUCAGGGGCUCGUCCCCCUUCAGCGGCAUCGCCAUCGGCAGCGAGGCAUCGGGAGGCGUCAGCAACGUGCUGGUGGAGGACUGCAGCAUCUUCAACAGCGGCUACGGCAUCCACAUCAAGACCAACAUUGGGAGGGGCGGCUUCAUCAGGAACAUCACCGUUGACAACGUCCGCAUGAACAGCGUCCGCAACGGGCUGCGCAUCGCCGGCGAUGUCGGUGACCACCCAGAUGAGCACUUCAGCCAGCUCGCGCUGCCCACCGUGGAUGCUGUCAGCAUCAAGAACGUGUGGGGUGUCAAUGUGCAGCAGCCCGGGUCGAUCGAGGGGAUCAGGAACUCGCCGUUCACGAGGAUAUGCCUCGCCAACGUGAAGCUGUUUGGGUGGAGGAAUAAUGCAGCUUGGAAGUGCAGGGACGUCCAUGGCGCGGCGCUGGGUGUGCAGCCGGGGCCGUGUGCAGAGCUCACGACCAGCCUUUCUUCAGGGUUCUGCAGCUAUUAGUGUGAUCCAGUUGUAUAAUGUUUUUUGAUUAGAAAGGUUGUGCUUGCUUUUUUUUUAGGUUUGACUGCUCCCUAAUUGUGGUUGGGAUUGAUCAAUAUGUUAGGCUUGUGCUAAUCAGUUAAGGAGUUUUAGGUGUCUUUUUGUUAGAGAAAGGUUUGGCUUCUAAGUUGUCAGUCUGAGUGCAAAUAUGUUCUAAUCUGAAUAAUAAAUCCCAGCUUGUGUGAGAUUAAUACUCCGUCAGACUUGUGAUCAAAUGAGAGUUGAAUGUGCACAUUUUUACUCCUAAUUUAUCUGUUGGCUGUUCCACAAACAAUUCUAGGGUCAUCAGAGGCGGCUCAAUGGAUGAGGAAGGAGGCUCUCUGCAAGAGGCGAUUAGAUUUUUUUUUUUUGAGACCAAGAGGCGAUUAGAUUGGGUCUACUCAAUCAGAACAAAGGAUAUAAUCCAACAGCUAACCUACAAAGAUAAGUCAGUGUGCGUAUCAAAAAUUGGAAAUGGAUAGGAUAUGGUACAAGCACUGAUCGAAAAUUCCUGUUUCGUUUGUCAGGUACUUCUAUAUGAUUGUGAUACUGACAUAAUAUGUGCUACUAACAUUCUCAUUUGGACAAUUUCUACUCUGAUAACUGUACUAUACUUUAGGAAAUGUGUUCUGAAAACUGUGGCAGCAAAUCUUCCAGUUCAUGAUCCUAAUAAUGAUAGUUCAAUCAAAGACACUAACAACAUCUAAAAUCAAGAUGUAAAUGGAAACAAAAACACUCUGGACAGGAUAAAACAAAGAAAAAAGGGCUGCGCUUCAAAAGUAAUACUCCCGGGAUAAUGUAAUCCCUAAUCUUACUGCUCUAAAUUAAACCCCCUUUUCCACUGACGAUGAUUAACAAAAGCUAAUCCCCAGAUACUUGUUAAACCUGCUAUUAGUCCUUGCUACUUAUGCAUCAUAUAUAUAAUAUCCAGAAAUUUUAGUACUCUAGCAGAUAGUAUGAUUCAGCGUUCGUACCCAUAGGGUUAGCUCGCGAUCAGAUCUCGCAGGCGCAGCGCCAGCCUAGAUCGGAUCUCGGCAUCCAUCUCGAUCCCCCUAAUCUCUCGUCUUCAUCCUCCUCGGCAAGCUCGUCACCGGCCGGAUCGAGCCCGAAACGGCGCCCGGAUCCAGCCGAUCCGCCGCCUCCGGGGAACCCUCCAUCGACGGCGGCGGUGGGUGGGGACGGCGGCGGGGAUGGGUGGGUG